This 1269-nucleotide long non-coding RNA is filed under the name Homo sapiens (human). RNAcentral's name for it is "HSALNT0060922". Lineage: Eukaryota; Metazoa; Chordata; Mammalia; Primates; Hominidae. The record is from RNAcentral.
UAAUGAAGUCAAUAAAUAAUCACUUAUUUCAAAAAAAAUUAAGUUUUGCCAAUGGACAGAAUUUUUUAGUAGGAAAUUUGAAAACAUGAGACGCUCUUGAUACAAGUGUUUUUGAAAAUGCAAGUCAAUGGAUAAACUUCAGCUCUUCAUUCAGAAAGAAAGCCUGUGGAAUAGGUUCACCCCACAUAUCACAUUCUUCAGAGAAAAGCAGAUCUCAUUUGAUAGUCACUCUCCUGCAUGUUUCUGCUCUAUAUGUUGAACACAUAUACAGCACUUUGCAGACUGAUGCUUUGAAAGAACAAAGGAUUGGAGGCUGAAUACACCUGGGUAUGCUGCUUUUCUUCAAAGAACACAUUUGGAUAAGUGAUUUAAAAAAAUUAAAAGUAUCAAAAACAACAGCAACAACAGCAACACCCAUCAUGAUGCCAGAUUAAAGCCAGGAAAGAAUGCUGACCCAAAGUCUGGAGAGUUGGUUCCAUGUUCUAUGUAAAUGAGUUGCUGGGCCUUUGGAUGGUUCUGGAAGCAAUUAUCAACCCGCCACCCACCUGGAAGUUCUGCAGGUGUGUCAUACACACAGGCCCUGACAUUUUCAGCCAGGCUUCAACACUCAUCUUGGGCACUGUUUUAGAACAAUUGAUGAGCCCCUGUAGCAGCAGACUUCUAAGGUGAGAAAGUCCUGAGAUGUGGGCAGAAAGGGAGCCUGGGAGUCCCUGCAGUUGGAAAUAAAAAAGAAUCGAGGUUUCUAGACACUCGAUUUGAACUCUAUUAAAUGAAACACAGGCCCUUUGAGAGAGGUGUUUGUUCUGGAUUCAGCUGUGUUCUGUUCAGAGAAUGGCCUGUGGGGACAGAUCUGUCACAGGCAUGCAGGUGUCUAGUUUAAGACGGAGGACUCCCUCCAGCCUGUUUGUGAGCCAGCCAAUAUUGUAAUUGAAGGUGAGCCUGACCUCAGUCCUCCUGGCUCUGAGGAGAAUGCCACUCGGCCUGGCCUUUGAGUGAGCUCAUGAACAACAGUGUCUGCCUUCCAGAAUACAAACAGUGCUUGCUCCAUUGUAGCCCCUUCUACUUGGCCCCAUGGGGACUAUGGAAUAAUGUCAGUGGUCCCCACAUAAUGUGCAUCAAUAAGCAAACAAUAAACAAAAAUACUAGUUCACAUAGACUUGCUGCCUGUCUUUCCAAGUGGUGACCUGUUUCAUCUUGAGAGAGUUCUAUCAUGCAGAAAUUCUUUAUAUAUUUAAUAGUAAGAUACUACAGAAGGCAAUUCAUUAAGGG